UACGUAGGGUGCAAGCGUUGUUCGGAAUCACUGGGCGUAAAGGGAGCGUAGGCGGAAAUGUAAGUUAGGAGUUAAAUACAUAGGCUUAACCUGUGGUCUGCUUUUAAUACUGCAUUUCUUGAGUAUGGGAGAGGGCGAUGGAAUUCCAGGUGUAGCGGUGGAAUGCGUAGAUAUCUGGAAGAACACCAGUUGCGAAGGCGGUCGCCUGGCCCAAUACUGACGCGGAGGCUCGAAAGCUAGGGGAGCGAACAGG
Molecule: ribosomal RNA, 253 nt
Filed under: uncultured bacterium
Lineage: Bacteria
Description: partial 16S ribosomal RNA
Rfam family: Bacterial small subunit ribosomal RNA
Source: RNAcentral